GUUCAGUGAUGUCUUAACAAAUGUCUGACCUGAACUUAAAUGUGGACCACUUCUGUUACUGAGUAA
Molecule: small nucleolar RNA, 66 nt
Organism: Plectropomus leopardus (leopard coralgrouper)
Lineage: Eukaryota; Metazoa; Chordata; Actinopteri; Perciformes; Serranidae
Source: RefSeq, a predicted model, not a curated record